RNAcentral lists this ribosomal RNA (465 nucleotides) under uncultured Klebsiella sp. RNAcentral describes it as "bacterial SSU rRNA". It matches the Rfam family "Bacterial small subunit ribosomal RNA", at positions 338 to 795 of the family's 1533-position model. Lineage: Bacteria; Pseudomonadati; Pseudomonadota; Gammaproteobacteria; Enterobacterales; Enterobacteriaceae. The record is from RNAcentral.
CCUACGGGUGGCUGCAGUGGGGAAUAUUGCACAAUGGGCGCAAGCCUGAUGCAGCCAUGCCGCGUGUGUGAAGAAGGCCUUCGGGUUGUAAAGCACUUUCAGCGGGGAGGAAGGCGUUAAGGUUAAUAACCUUGUCGAUUGACGUUACCCGCAGAAGAAGCACCGGCUAACUCCGUGCCAGCAGCCGCGGUAAUACGGAGGGUGCAAGCGUUAAUCGGAAUUACUGGGCGUAAAGCGCACGCAGGCGGUCUGUCAAGUCGGAUGUGAAAUCCCCGGGCUCAACCUGGGAACUGCAUUCGAAGCUGGCAGGCUAGAGUCUUGUAGAGGGGGGUAGAAGUCCAGGUGUAGCGGUGAAAUGCGUAGAGAUCUGGAGGAAUACCGGUGGCGAAGGCGGCCCCCUGGACAAAGACUGACGCUCAGGUGCGAAAGCGUGGGGAGCAAACAGGAUUAGAUACCCUUGUAGUC